This 71-nucleotide transfer RNA is filed under the name Dentex dentex (common dentex). Its description in RNAcentral is "tRNA-Ser". It matches the Rfam family "tRNA". From Rfam's summary of the family: Transfer RNA (tRNA) molecules are approximately 80 nucleotides in length. Their secondary structure includes four short double-helical elements and three loops (D, anti-codon, and T loops). Further hydrogen bonds mediate the characteristic L-shaped molecular structure. tRNAs have two regions of fundamental functional importance: the anti-codon, which is responsible for specific mRNA codon recognition, and the 3' end, to which the tRNAs corresponding amino acid is attached (by aminoacyl-tRNA synthetases). tRNAs cope with the degeneracy of the genetic code in two manners: having more than one tRNA (with a specific anti-codon) for a particular amino acid; and 'wobble' base-pairing, i.e. permitting non-standard base-pairing at the 3rd anti-codon position. The record is from RNAcentral. Lineage: Eukaryota; Metazoa; Chordata; Actinopteri; Spariformes; Sparidae.
AAGAAUGUGGCAGAGUGGAAAUGCCAUUGGCUUGAAACCAAUUUACGGGGGUUCGACUCCUUCCUUUCUCG